CUGCAAGUCCAGGGACUUUUUGUGAAGGAUCAGGCACCAUUUCUUCUUUAACGAUGUGAGAACUUCGGGCCUUCCCUUCAUCUUCAGAUCUUCACUUGGCUCAGCCUCCUACAGGAAAGAGAGAUGCGCUCACUUUCAGUCUAGGUUUCCUAAGUUCUUCAGAGGAACUACGACCACCAUAGCCAUCAAGACACACUGCAGCCACCCACUCCCUCGCCGAUGAGCAUCUCGGGUCUGCUGCCGGGAGGUGAACGCCUGGCACCGAAAAAACCAGGGCACUGUGAGUCGGGUCAUAGUAGCGCUGGUUUGCUAGAGGCAGAGGAGAAUACCGACAGUAUCAAAUUCAAUUUCUUUGCUUAAAUUUGGAUUCUGUUUCCCUAAGCAAUGUGCAUAUUGUUAAAGCAAAAGAGGAUGGAAAGAAAACACAGAGAAAAUAUGCCGAAUGGAAACGUUUUGGGGGAAAUCUCUUUACUGAAAACUGUAAGUGGUCGUGGCAUACUAGAC
Long non-coding RNA from Orcinus orca (killer whale), 504 nucleotides. RefSeq lists it as uncharacterized. The record is from RefSeq and is a predicted model, not a curated record. NCBI's taxonomy places the organism in Eukaryota, Metazoa, Chordata, Mammalia, Artiodactyla, Delphinidae. The transcript is spliced from 3 exons.